UACGUAGGCAGCGAGCGUUGUUCGGAGUUACUGGGCGUAAAGGGUGUGUAGGCGGCUCUCUAAGUUUGGUGUGAAAUCUCCCGGCUCAACUGGGAGGGUGCGCCGAAUACUGAAGGGCUAGAGUGCGGGAGAGGAGAGUGGAAUUCCUGGUGUAGCGGUGAAAUGCGUAGAUAUCAGGAGGAACACCGGUGGUGUAGACGGCUCUCUGGACCGUAACUGACGCUGAAACACGAAAGCGUGGGUAGCAAACAGG
Molecule: ribosomal RNA, 253 nt
Filed under: uncultured bacterium
Lineage: Bacteria
Description: partial 16S ribosomal RNA
Rfam family: Bacterial small subunit ribosomal RNA
Source: RNAcentral